RNAcentral lists this unclassified non-coding RNA (299 nucleotides) under Hevea brasiliensis (rubber tree). The record is from RNAcentral. Lineage: Eukaryota; Viridiplantae; Streptophyta; Magnoliopsida; Malpighiales; Euphorbiaceae.
AAAAAAAAAAGAAAAAGAAAAGAAAUUCCCCUUGCGUUGUAAUGUUGAAUUACAUUACUUUCCUUUGUGCUUUUGAAUUAUUGGGUUGUUGAUUGGAGAAAAAAAGUAAAGUUUUGGAAACUGUAAUGCUUGAAAGAUAGCAGUGAACAAGUAGAGAUUUGUAUCUAUUCAAUAAAUCUACUUUUGUGUUCUUGUGGUGCAUAAAGGGCAGGUUCUACUGUUAUAUUUCUGACUUUGUGUGAUUUAUUUUUCAUCCUCUACCAUUCUUUUGAUGAGGAGCAGUUAUGCAUAUUACACAG